GCACGUCUGGCCAGGAUACGAAUAUCCAAGACAGGAAGCUCUAAUGCCUUCCUCCACAGCAAACGGAAUGGCCUCUUCAGCGAAGCCUUGGAGCUCACGCAACUUCCUUACAAGAUGAACCUUUCAGACCAGAGUUCCACUGAGGAGGAGCAGCAGCGAGCAAGAACCAGUCUCUAUUAGAGAGCCAACACACCACCUUGCUGCAUUGUCUGGAGAAAACCACAAAUCAUGAGUUUGCAGAUGAGCUGUGUUAUGAGCAGAGCUACCUGGAGGGGGCACUCCAGAGCUACCCGUCUCAAAGCCCCUCCCUCUCCAGCCAAGAAGGCAUGACGGGCACCUGCUGUACCCGCCACACCAAGAGGAACCACGCCCCUUUACCCAACUCCAGUAUUCCCACGUGCGCCCUCUCACACACACACCCUCAUCAUAACCUACAGGAGCUCAGCACUAUCCACAUCCAGCCCCUCAACACCAGUCGCUCCAGUCUGAACAUGCGUGUGGACGAACCCGCGCGCCUCAACUGCCAGAGCGGCACGAUCACCACUGCGAUCAUCAGCAUUCCGACGCCCCCAGCGACCACUCCUGAGAGCGACGCCCACCCUCCACCCUCAGGCCCCGCCCUUCAGAACGUUGUGAAGGUGUCUGCGCUGUGAGUGUAGAAGCGCAGCAGGACGCGCGGACAGACAGACAGAUAGGAUGGAUAGACAGACUUAUGCAGAUAGACAGAAGGACAGUGCGAAGGAUACGACAGACGAGCAGGCGAAUGCUCUGAAGGCCGAGUCCCAGACUGAAGACAUGGAGAAGGACUGCCCUCUAGUGGAGAUCUACUGUAAUGACAUGGACUUCCUGUAGAAAUGGAGGAUGGAUUUUAGAUACAGUCUACUGUAGGUGUCUGGGCGCUUCUGUAUGUUUGAGUGGGCGUUUUUUGUGUGUUUGAGGGGUAUACGUGUGUGUGAGAGAGAAUGUGUGUUGGAGAAAAUAAAAAAGGUUUGAGUGUAUGAAUGAGUGUAUGAAAGAGAAAGAGAAGCACUUGAUGGGUSGCUGGAGAGAUGUAGAGCAGUAACGUCAUAUGUCACUGUGCACGCAGCACCUUUUUAUGGUUAGUGCUAUCCGGGAUCAUUGGGACAUCCCUACACUAUACCUUAACCCUUACCUAACCUUAACCCUUACCUUAACAAUAACCUUUACCUAACCUUAACAAUAACACUUACUUAACCCUAACCUUAACAAUAACCCUUACCUCACCCUAACCUUAUCCAUUUUAAAUUUCAACUUCAAUGGGGGUAUGGAUGUCCCAAUGAUCCCGGAUAGCAAGGGCGACCUUUUUAUGGUUUGGAACCUGAGUUUGACAUUUGACCUGUCUGGUCUUUACAUCGUUACAGCAGGAAACAGUGACCAUAUCAAAGAAAAGAACGCAGACAUAUUGAAAUCAUUAACGUUUUCCUCUGGUUUGUUUAGUUAUUUAUGGUUUGAUUCAGUUUGAUCCACUUAUUCGUCGUCAUAGAUACAUGUCACUCACCAUCCCAAAUCUUUUUUUUUCUUCUUUUUCUUCUCCCCAGGUAUAAUUUAAUUUCACAGUGAAAAUUCUUAACAGAUCAAACUAUGGUAGGUGUCUGUGUCAGAGAUACUAGUGGGUUUCUUAUAUUUGUGAACGUGUAGGUGUGUAUGCCUGUAUGAGUGUGUGUGAGUUUCAGGAGCUGUCUGUAGUUUAGCUCUUUCUGUAAGUGUCCGUGGCUCUGUAUACGUGUGACUAGCUGCCACUCAUGGAAAGCUGCUGUACAUAUUUCUGUCUAAAAUUCUCAGCUGGAAGCCUUUUACACAAUAUGUGCCUGUUUCGUUUGAGUAAAUUCUUGAUUUUAUUUCUCUUUUUUUGUAGGUCGGUUUCCCUCCCUUUGCUUUCCUCUGGGCUCUAGUUGUAGACAUUCAACAGACCUUUUAUGUAAACUUGCUUCAUUAUCCAACACCAAGACCAAAAAGGUUGUAUUUAAACUUAAACCACGUCUAACUAAAAGCACAAGGUGUUUGCUGAGAAUUUCUGACAGAGAUCUGUCCAGAGCCUGGGUUAUAUUGUGAAUAUUGUUAAUAGAAUAUUUUGUAAUAUUUUCCCAUUGUUUGGCAGAGCCAGUGAAGCUGUCCUCUCUCACUCUCUUUCUCUCUCGUUGUCGUCCUGUGUAUCUCUUUCUCUCUCGUUGUCGUCCUGUUGUAUUCUUCCCUCCGUUCUGUGUGAAGAACAAUAUGCUUUUGGUAGUUGUUUUUAGUCGUCAAUGUUUUCUCCCCAAACUCAGCUGGCAUUUUUCAAAGUUGUUGGGUGUCUGUAAUCUUCUAUGUGGAUAGAAACUUGGUGUUUGUACUUUUUCUGUGGCCUUCCAUGUUUUUCCCCUGGGACAUUCUAGGUCUUAAAUGUUUUAUUUUUUUCCUGGAGAACUUGAACCUGGGACAUCUGUUGUCAUGGUGACCACAGAGACAUAGAGGACAGGAUGACAKCCACCCAUGGACCUAAACCAACCUUAACAUCUAACACUAGCCAUUUAUCUUCUGGGUUAUAGGGUCUGAAAUGUCUCUUUACCAGAGACUAGAGUUGGGCUCAGUUAAUUUCAGUAUAUUCAGACUGAAUUCAGACCCCAACCCUUCCAGAGAUACAGGCACACAAAGGGGCAAUGCAGAGUAGAUCCAUGGCAUCUAUCUACGACAUGACACAGGACCUGUGAACCAACCAAACCAAAAGGGUUCAACUAUGUUGGAUCAGGAAGUUAAUGGUAUUGUCUAUUUAGUGGACGACCUGCAUUUGUAAGCACAGGUAUUGUUACUUUAGAACUUGAUGAUGUAUUCCGUGACCAUAGCUCCCAGGAUCUAGUAUAGACCCAGUCGUUAUGGGAUAGAACGUUGCGAUCUUGCCCUCCUGUAGGGAAAACAACCUGUGGUUACCUACAGUGCAUUCGGAAAGUAUUCAGAACCCUUGACUUUUUUUUAAAUGUUGUU
This is a non-coding RNA of Salvelinus sp. IW2-2015, 2979 nucleotides long. The record is from RefSeq and is a predicted model, not a curated record. NCBI's taxonomy places the organism in Eukaryota, Metazoa, Chordata, Actinopteri, Salmoniformes, Salmonidae.